Molecule: ribosomal RNA, 161 nt
Filed under: Triticum aestivum (bread wheat)
Lineage: Eukaryota; Viridiplantae; Streptophyta; Magnoliopsida; Poales; Poaceae
Description: rRNA SSU_rRNA_eukarya
Rfam family: Eukaryotic small subunit ribosomal RNA
Source: Rfam by way of RNAcentral
CACCGCCCGUCGCUCCUACCGAUUGAAUGGUUCGGUGAAGUGUUCGGAUCGCGGCGACGGGGGCGGUUCGCCGCCCCCGACGUCGCGAGAAGUCCAUUGAACCUUAUCAUUUAGAGGAAGGAGAAGUCGUAACAAGGUUUCCGUAGGUGAACCUGCGGAAG